AUUGGACUAAUCCUCCUCCACAUAUAGGCAAGGAUGGUCCCAAGAAGGGACUAACAUGGACUAUAACCUAGUUCAGGGCCGGUUGUUGUAGGGAGUGUUCAUCUAUAAUUGCUGAAAUAAAAGCAAGAUCAAGGCUUGAGGAAGUAGCUGAAGCUGCUCUGGAAAUCAGAGCUUUUUCCAGUAGAGGCAAUUUGGCUGAGGGAACAAAGUGAGUUGCUACCACAAGCAAGCAUUUCAGCACCAUCCAACCUGGUACCUGUCUGUGAGACCCAAAUACUUGUUAGGAAAAAUAUAUUUACACAACUCUUAAAAUAUAAAGAGUAGCAAAAUACGAAAUCUGUAUAAAUGUGCAAAUAUAAAUUAAGUACAGAAUAUUGACUUUUAUUGAAGAUAGAAGCUUGCGUAUUCGCAAUGUCCUAAAGACAGAAUUUCACCUCUUCUCAGUACUUGAAGUUCAGCAGGCGUCUAUCUCCCAGGAUUCAACUAUCUAUAAUUCAAGGGUCCAGCACCGGAUCCUUGAAUUUUGGCGACCGUUGGUGUGCUUCUCUCCAAUACAGUAGGUAAUUUUAAAAUAGUAUGAGAUAGUUCAGAAAAAAGAUCAUCGUAUUAUGCCCUAGGACUUGUGGUUUUAUAACAGAAUUACACCUCUUCAAAAGAGCAGUUAGUAUCAGUUAUACCUGUUCAAAUUCAAACAAAAAGAUUAGUCUUUGUGGUUUGAAUUUAACUUAUGCUAAAAGAAAUUUGAAAAAUAAAAAUAAAAAUAUUUAUUUUAUUUUCGGAC
Long non-coding RNA from Prunus persica (peach), 781 nucleotides. RefSeq lists it as uncharacterized. NCBI's taxonomy places the organism in Eukaryota, Viridiplantae, Streptophyta, Magnoliopsida, Rosales, Rosaceae. The record is from RefSeq and is a predicted model, not a curated record. The transcript has 2 exons.